UCCGAUAUGGUGUAGUGGCCAACAUGAUGCCCUCUCAUCUCAAAUGAGAGGUUAGGCAUAGCCCCGAGUUCGAUUCUCGGUUUCGGAA
Colletotrichum sp. SAR 10_76 is the source of this 88-nucleotide non-coding RNA. Lineage: Eukaryota; Fungi; Ascomycota; Sordariomycetes; Glomerellales; Glomerellaceae. The record is from the annotation of a GenBank genome assembly.